AUAUACCACUCGUACACUCCGGUUCCUGUGCGCCGCCCGCACCCACCUGACGACUGCUCGCUACGUUUUGUUAGCC
RNAcentral lists this small RNA (76 nucleotides) under Xanthomonas vasicola. RNAcentral describes it as "sX9". It matches the Rfam family "Xanthomonas sRNA sX9". Lineage: Bacteria; Pseudomonadati; Pseudomonadota; Gammaproteobacteria; Lysobacterales; Lysobacteraceae. The record is from RNAcentral.